AUGACUUAUGUGAUCAAUUCUAUUGAGGGGUUUUAUGCUUGCAAAGCAUCAAUAGAUCUUUUAUUAUACUUAUUCCCAAAAAGGUUGGGGCUUCUUGUGGCUUCUUGUGUCGAUGAUUAUAGACCCAUCUCUCUUUUGAGUUGCACUAUUAAGCUCCUAACUAAAUUGUUGGCUAGUAGGUUGCAAAAAAUGAUUACGGAGUCGAUCCAUGUUAAUCUAUACGGUUUUAUUAAAACCAGAACCAUACAAGAGUACAUUGCUUGGGUUUAUGAAUAUUCGUAUCAAUGUAACAAUAGUAAAAAAACAAAUGUGGCUUCGAAAGGCGUUGGACAAGGUUAA
Molecule: ribosomal RNA, 339 nt
Filed under: Triticum aestivum (bread wheat)
Lineage: Eukaryota; Viridiplantae; Streptophyta; Magnoliopsida; Poales; Poaceae
Description: partial small subunit ribosomal RNA
Source: RNAcentral